CCUACGGGAGGCUGCAGUGGGGAAUAUUGCACAAUGGGGGAAACCCUGAUGCAGCGACGCCGCGUGAGUGAAGAAGUAUUUCGGUAUGUAAAGCUCUGUCAGCAGGGAAGAAAAUGACGGUACCUGACCAAGAAGCCCCGGCUAACUACGUGCCAGCAGCCGCGGGAAUACGUAGGGGGCAAGCGUUAUCCGGAUUUACUGGGUGGAAAGGGAGCGGAGACGGCAGUGCAAGUCUGGAGUGAAAGGCGGGGGCUCAACCCCCGGACCGCUCUGGAAACUGUACGGCUGGAGUGCAGGAGAGGUAAGUGGAAUUCCUAGUGUAGCGGUGAAAUGCGUAGAUAUUAGGAGGAACACCAGUGGCGAAGGCGGCUUACUGGAUUGUAACUGACGCUGAGGCUCGAAAGCGUGGGGAGCAAACAGGAUUAGAUACCCCGGUAGUC
RNAcentral lists this ribosomal RNA (440 nucleotides) under uncultured bacterium. Its description in RNAcentral is "partial 16S ribosomal RNA". It matches the Rfam family "Bacterial small subunit ribosomal RNA", at positions 338 to 795 of the family's 1533-position model. The record is from RNAcentral.